This 370-nucleotide ribosomal RNA is filed under the name uncultured bacterium. Its description in RNAcentral is "bacterial SSU rRNA". It matches the Rfam family "Bacterial small subunit ribosomal RNA", at positions 527 to 896 of the family's 1533-position model. The record is from RNAcentral.
GGAGGGUGCGAGCGUUAAUCGGAAUUACUGGGCGUAAAGCGCGCGUAGGUGGCUUGAUAAGCCGGUUGUGAAAGCCCCGGGCUCAACCUGGGAACGGCAUCCGGAACUGUCAAGCUAGAGUGCAGGAGAGGAAGGUAGAAUUCCCGGUGUAGCGGUGAAAUGCGUAGAGAUCGGGAGGAAUACCAGUGGCGAAGGCGGCCUUCUGGACUGACACUGACACUGAGGUGCGAAACCGUGGGUAGCAAACAGGAUUAGAUACCCUGGUAGUCCACGCCGUAAACGAUGUCGACCACCCGUUGGGUGCCUAGCGCACUUUGUGGCGAAGUUAACGCGAUAAGUCGACCGCCUGGGGAGUACGGCCGCAAGGUUA